ACGAUGAAGAGUUUGAUCCUGGCUCAGGAUGAACGCUGGCGGCGUGCCUAAUACAUGCAAGUCGAACGCAGUCCUUAGGGACUGAGUGGCGAACGGGUGAGUAAAAGAUAAGGAACCUGGCUUCUGAAGGGGGAUAGCGUCUGGAAACGGACGGUAAGACCGCGUAGGCAAUAUGGACGCAUGUCGAUAUUGUUAGAUAUGCCUAGGCAUAGACAGGAGAUGGACUUAUCACGCAUUAGCUAGUUGGCGGGGUAAAGGCCCACCAAGGCGACGAUGCGUAGCCGGCCUGAGAGGGCGGACGGCCACACUGGGACUGAGACACGGCCCAGACUCCUACGGGAGGCAGCAGUAGGGAAUUUUCGGCAAUGG
Molecule: non-coding RNA, 369 nt
Filed under: Clostridiales bacterium CHKCI006
Lineage: Bacteria; Bacillati; Bacillota; Clostridia; Eubacteriales
Description: Bacterial small subunit ribosomal RNA
Rfam family: Bacterial small subunit ribosomal RNA
Source: Rfam by way of RNAcentral